This 539-nucleotide ribosomal RNA is filed under the name uncultured bacterium. RNAcentral describes it as "bacterial SSU rRNA". It matches the Rfam family "Bacterial small subunit ribosomal RNA", at positions 356 to 896 of the family's 1533-position model. The record is from RNAcentral.
GAGGAAUAUUGGUCAAUGGACGGAAGUCUGAGCCAGCCAAGUAGCGUGCAGGAUGACGGCCCUAUGGGUUGUAAACUGCUUUUGUAUGGGGAUAAAGUUAGGGACGUGUCCCUAUUUGCAGGUACCAUACGAAUAAGGACCGGCUAAUUCCGUGCCAGCAGCCGCGGUAAUACGGAAGGUCCAGGCGUUAUCCGGAUUUAUUGGGUUUAAAGGGAGCGUAGGCUGGAGAUUAAGUGUGUUGUGAAAUGUAGACGCUCAACGUCUGAAUUGCAGCGCAUACUGGUUUCCUUGAGUACGCACAACGUUGGCGGAAUUCGUCGUGUAGCGGUGAAAUGCUUAGAUAUGACGAAGAACUCCGAUUGCGAAGGCAGCCUGCGGGAGUGUUACUGACGCUUAAGCUCGAAGGUGCGGGUAUCGAACAGGAUUAGAUACCCUGGUAGUCCGCACUGUAAACGAUGGAUGCCCGCCGUUGGCGCCCUGCGCCUGCGGCCAAGCGAAAGCAUUAAGCAUCCCACCUGGGGAGUACGCCGGCAACGGUG